UAAAACAUGUAAAAAUAAUUCAUUUUAUUAGACCUACCAUGUUAUUUAAUAUUUUAUAUUUUAUAUAGAGAUAGAUAGAAAGAUAGAUAAGCGUUCGACAAAUCUAUUGAUUGUUAUUGUUGAAAUAUACGAUAUUGUGCAUUUAUUAUUGCGGCAUUAGAUCUACGACAGUAAUUUAAAUAGCUGAGACAAUUCUUGUAAGCGUGUAGCAAUUUUCU
Molecule: non-coding RNA, 218 nt
Organism: Biomphalaria pfeifferi
Lineage: Eukaryota; Metazoa; Mollusca; Gastropoda; Planorbidae
Source: the annotation of a GenBank genome assembly